CCUACGUGAGGCAGCAGUGGGGAAUAUUGGACAAUGGGCGAAAGCCUGAUCCAGCCAUGCCGCGUGUGUGAAGAAGGCCUUCGGGUUGUAAAGCACUUUCAGUGGGGAAGAAAGCCUUGGGGCUAAUACCCUCGAGGAAGGACAUCACCCACAGAAGAAGCACCGGCUAACUCCGUGCCAGCAGCCGCGGUAAUACGGAGGGUGCGAGCGUUAAUCGGAAUUACUGGGCGUAAAGCGCGCGUAGGCGGUCUGAUAAGCCGGUUGUGAAAGCCCCGGGCUCAACCUGGGAACGGCAUCCGGAACUGUCAGGCUAGAGUGCAGGAGAGGAAGGUAGAAUUCCCGGUGUAGCGGUGAAAUGCGUAGAGAUCGGGAGGAAUACCAGUGGCGAAGGCGGCCUUCUGGACUGACACUGACGCUGAGGUGCGAAAGCGUGGGUAGCAAACAGGAUUAGAUACCCUUGUAGUC
RNAcentral lists this ribosomal RNA (465 nucleotides) under Vreelandella stevensii. RNAcentral's name for it is "partial 16S ribosomal RNA". It matches the Rfam family "Bacterial small subunit ribosomal RNA", at positions 338 to 795 of the family's 1533-position model. The record is from RNAcentral. Lineage: Bacteria; Pseudomonadati; Pseudomonadota; Gammaproteobacteria; Oceanospirillales; Halomonadaceae.